Molecule: long non-coding RNA, 561 nt
Filed under: Vulpes vulpes (red fox)
Lineage: Eukaryota; Metazoa; Chordata; Mammalia; Carnivora; Canidae
Description: lncRNA (ENSVVUG00000021768.1)
Source: RNAcentral
AAAGAGAGAGAGAGAGGCAGAGACACAGGCAGAGGGAGAAGCAGGCUCCAUGCAGGGAGUCCUAUGCGGCACUCAAUCCCGGGUCCCCAGGAUCAGGCCCUGGGCUGAAGGCACCCAGGCUGCCCAUAUAUUGAGUUUUUAGUGAAAAAAAUUACUACUUGAAAAAAUUUGUAUUUUCUUUUUUGCUUGUAAAGGCCAGAGAAGAUUAUGUCUCAGAGGACAAUCACCAUGAGAAGACCAUAUAAAAAAAAACAAGUGAAAUAAAGUGACUUGGUGAUUGGUUCAGCCAUCGACUUCUCAUACAUCACUAAAGAAAGAUUGAACUCAGUUGUGUAUAUUUAUUUGAAUGACAAUCAUUUAUUAAAAAAACAGCCUCUUGUAAAAGACCUGGUCCCUAACUCAUGAGUUUUCUCUAAUGAGAAAAGAAGUCAGAUUGCCAGAAAUGUUUCCCACACUGAGACUGCUGUGUCCUUUGGACAAGAACAUUCAAGACAACUUCAGUGUCAUGACUGUAAUCUGUGUACAACUAACAUCCAAAAUAAAGUAGAUGGCCAUUCUGGC